GACUUGGUAGCUCAGUAGGUUAGAGCGUCGGAUUGUGGUUCCGAAGGUCGUGGGUUCGAAACCCAUCCUAGUCC
This 74-nucleotide transfer RNA is filed under the name Saprospiraceae bacterium. RNAcentral describes it as "tRNA-His". It matches the Rfam family "tRNA". Rfam says of the family: Transfer RNA (tRNA) molecules are approximately 80 nucleotides in length. Their secondary structure includes four short double-helical elements and three loops (D, anti-codon, and T loops). Lineage: Bacteria; Pseudomonadati; Bacteroidota; Saprospiria; Saprospirales; Saprospiraceae. The record is from RNAcentral.